GACAGUCUUCUGACCAGGUGUUUGGAAAAAUUACAGCCUGCCUAUCAAGUGACCCUUCCCGGACAAGAGCCCAUUGUGAAGAAAGGGAGAAUCUGUCCAAUUGACAUCACCCUAGCACAAAGAGCGUCUAAUAAAAAGAUAACAAAACUGAGGCUGAGUUUAAGAAACAUGCCUGUGGUCCCCUGCUAGUAAGAAGCUAAGUAGGAACUGGAAUCAAAUCCAUCUAAGGCCCAUGCUCUUCUCAAUUCACCAUGUAGCCACCAUGGGACGGCAUCUUUUGCUGAAGGGGCCGGCCUGCCACACCCAUAAUGAUCACUGAAACUCUGUGCUGCGGGGCUGGGAUGAGCAGCUGUUAAACCAAAGCCUGUCUCUGGAACUGAACCUUGAUUCUGUUGCAGACCACCCAAGGGCAAGCAGCUCUGGCCAUCUCCCACUUGCCGGAGAAAUUAAAACGUUUUUGUGGACCUCUAAAGUCGUGUGUGCCUGUGGCACGAUGCCUGCUGUGCCUCAUGGAGAAGUGACCAUACUUUCCAGCUGUUCAGUCCCAGACCACCCUGAACCAGAGUACUGCAGAGUUAAUUAAGGAUGGACGGUGGGUAGGUGAGUGAGUGGAUCCCAAUACCCCAUCCCAGGCCAACUCUCUCCUAAGCUCUCUCAGUUCUUUCAGGCCAAUUUAGAGAGUAUUCCUUUGCAAAUGAUAUAUGCCAUAAGGGAUUGAUAUGCAGAAUAUAUAAACUACCACAAUACAAA
This 750-nucleotide long non-coding RNA is filed under the name Homo sapiens (human). Its description in RNAcentral is "non-protein coding lnc-EIF2D-2:2". The record is from RNAcentral. Lineage: Eukaryota; Metazoa; Chordata; Mammalia; Primates; Hominidae.